GGGGAUGUCGCCAAGGGGUAAGGCAACGGACUUUGACUCCGUGACUCGUAGGUUCAAAUCCUGCCAUCCCUGCCA
This 75-nucleotide transfer RNA is filed under the name Clostridia bacterium. RNAcentral describes it as "tRNA-Gln". It matches the Rfam family "tRNA". From Rfam's summary of the family: Transfer RNA (tRNA) molecules are approximately 80 nucleotides in length. Their secondary structure includes four short double-helical elements and three loops (D, anti-codon, and T loops). RNAcentral also lists the same sequence under 2 other names. The record is from RNAcentral. Lineage: Bacteria; Bacillati; Bacillota; Clostridia.